UUGACCGGCAGGUCCUGGACAAAGGCCUCGCCUCGUCCCGGCGGCACGACGAACUGGCCGUUCGGCUUGCGCUGGUCCGACGCCAGCUUGGCCAGG
RNAcentral lists this transfer RNA (96 nucleotides) under compost metagenome. RNAcentral's name for it is "tRNA-Asp". The record is from RNAcentral.